RNAcentral lists this ribosomal RNA (500 nucleotides) under uncultured bacterium. RNAcentral describes it as "bacterial SSU rRNA". It matches the Rfam family "Bacterial small subunit ribosomal RNA", at positions 899 to 1397 of the family's 1533-position model. The record is from RNAcentral.
ACUCAAAGGAAUAGACGGGGGCCCGCACAAGCGGUGGAGCAUGUGGUUUAAUUCGACGCAACGCGAAGAACCUUACCAGCCUUUGACAUGGACAUUGGGGAGACCAGAGAUGGUUUCUUUCAUUUAGUUGGGUGUCACACAGGUGCUGCAUGGCUGUCGUCAGCUCGUGUCGUGAGAUGUUGGGUUAAGUCCCGCAACGAGCGCAACCCUCGCCUUUAGUUGCCAGCAUUAAGUUGGGCACUCUAAAGGAACUGCCUAUGAUAAGUAGGAGGAAGGUGGGGAUGACGUCAAGUCCUCAUGGCCCUUACGGGCUGGGCUACACACGUGCUACAAUGGUUACUACAAUGGGAAGCGAGCCGGAGACGGUGGGCAAAUCUUAUAAAAGUAAUCUCAGUUCGGAUUGAGCUCUGCAACUCGAGCUCAUGAAGUUGGAAUCGCUAGUAAUCGUGGAUCAGCAUGCCACGGUGAAUACGUUCCCGGGCCUUGUACACACCGCCCGU